GUGCAUUGUCCCCGAACAGUUUGCUCCCAGUUAUAACUGUGGCAGAAAAAUGAACAAAGGAGAUCCUACAGGACUCAUGUAUUGUAAGGAUACCACUGUCAUAGCAUCACUGACUUCUGUGCUCUAUUAUGAUAAAGAAUUACCCAACCCAGAGAGGUUUGAUCCUAGUCACUUUCUGGAUGAGAGUGGCAAGUUUAAGAAAAGUGACUACUUUUUUCCUUUCUCAACAGGAAAACGGAUUUGUGUUGGAGAGGGUCUGGCUUGAACGGAAUUAUUUUUAUUCCUGACCACCAUUUAACAGAACUUUAACUUGAAAUCUCCAGUUGAUCUGAAAGAACUUGAUACUCCUCCAGUUGCCAAUGGAUUUGCUUCUAUGCCACCCAAGUUCCAGAUAUGCUUCAUUCCCAUCUAAAUGGAUUUCCCCUUAAAGCCCUUUCCUUGAGGGUAUAGUUGACUUCAGGCAUGUCUCUCUGACUCUAUUACCAGAGUUCUGGGAUUCCAUAUAUAUACCUGCACAAACUGAUCUACGUCUUUCUUUAUUCAUUAGGCAUACAGUAAUAAGCUAAAAAAAUGUCCCAAGAUGUUUCUUCAACAUAAUACAUACAAAGAAAGCAUGAUAUCUCUGACCUUCUAUCUCUUAAAGAUACAGGAAACGCCUAUCUUCUAUUUGAAGCAAUUUUUAGGGUGACUGCAAAAUAAGUCCACAAUUUCUUAAGCUGGGCAAUGAUUGAUUUACUGAUUUCAGCACUGAUAGUUCUUAUCUGAUGGGGAAUUAUUAAUAUAUUACUAUUUUAAAACUGAGAAAUUUGACAGUUUUAAAGUACUGUGUGUUUUAAAUAAAAGUAUUAUAAUUCU
This is a long non-coding RNA of Mus pahari (shrew mouse), 855 nucleotides long. RefSeq lists it as uncharacterized. The record is from RefSeq and is a predicted model, not a curated record. The transcript has 3 exons. NCBI's taxonomy places the organism in Eukaryota, Metazoa, Chordata, Mammalia, Rodentia, Muridae.